Molecule: ribosomal RNA, 367 nt
Filed under: uncultured Diversispora
Lineage: Eukaryota; Fungi; Glomeromycota; Glomeromycetes; Diversisporales; Diversisporaceae
Description: SSU rRNA
Rfam family: Eukaryotic small subunit ribosomal RNA
Source: RNAcentral
AGCAGCCGCGGUAAUUCCAGCUCCAAUAGCGUAUAUUAAAGUUGUUGCAGUUAAAAAGCUCGUAGUUGAACCUCGGGGUCUACCCAUUGGUCAGGCUUAAUUGUCUGCACUGGUGAGAUGGAUCUCUACCUUCUGAGGAACUUUCAUGCCAUUUAUUUGGUGUGAUGGGAAAUCAGGACUGUUACUUUGAAAAAAUUAGAGUGUUUAAAGCAGACUAUCGUCUGAAUACAUUAGCAUGGAAUAAUGAAAUAGGACGGACUGAUUCUAUUUCGUUGGUUUCUAGGAUCACCGUAAUGAUUAAUAGGGAUAGUUGGGGGCAUUAGUAUUCAAUUGUCAGAGGUGAAAUUCUUGGAUUUAUUGAAGACUA